GGCGCCAUCGUCUAACGGUUAGGACACUACCCUUUCAAGGUGGUAAUCGGGGUUCGAUUCCCCGUGGCGCUGCUA
RNAcentral lists this transfer RNA (75 nucleotides) under candidate division WWE3 bacterium RIFCSPLOWO2_01_FULL_39_13. RNAcentral describes it as "tRNA-Glu". It matches the Rfam family "tRNA". Rfam says of the family: Transfer RNA (tRNA) molecules are approximately 80 nucleotides in length. Their secondary structure includes four short double-helical elements and three loops (D, anti-codon, and T loops). Further hydrogen bonds mediate the characteristic L-shaped molecular structure. tRNAs have two regions of fundamental functional importance: the anti-codon, which is responsible for specific mRNA codon recognition, and the 3' end, to which the tRNAs corresponding amino acid is attached (by aminoacyl-tRNA synthetases). tRNAs cope with the degeneracy of the genetic code in two manners: having more than one tRNA (with a specific anti-codon) for a particular amino acid; and 'wobble' base-pairing, i.e. permitting non-standard base-pairing at the 3rd anti-codon position. Lineage: Bacteria; candidate division WWE3. The record is from RNAcentral.